This 467-nucleotide ribosomal RNA is filed under the name uncultured bacterium. RNAcentral's name for it is "partial 16S ribosomal RNA". It matches the Rfam family "Bacterial small subunit ribosomal RNA", at positions 28 to 506 of the family's 1533-position model. The record is from RNAcentral.
GACGAACGCUGGCGGCGUGCUUAACACAUGCAAGUCGAACGGAAAGGCCCUGCUUUUGUGGGGUGCUCGAGUGGCGAACGGGUGAGUAACACGUGAGUAACCUGCCCUUGACUUUGGGAUAACUUCAGGAAACUGGGGCUAAUACCGGAUAGGAGCUCCUGCUGCAUGGUGGGGGUUGGAAAGUUUCGGCGGUUGGGGAUGGACUCGCGGCUUAUCAGCUUGUUGGGGGGGUAGUGGCUUACCAAGGCUUUGACGGGUAGCCGGCCUGAGAGGGUGACGGGCCCUAUUGCAACUAGUUUACGGCCCCGACUCUUCCGGACGGCAGCGGGGGGAACUCUUGCGCACUGGGUGAAGGCUGUGCGCGGCACCGCCGCCGUGGGGGUCAGGUCAUUUGGUUUUGAACCGCCUUUCUCCUUUCUGGGACCGUGCGUGCCCGUAUUGGGAAAACAUCCACCGCCUAACUUCUC